GCGAAGAACCUUACCUACUCUUGACAUCCAGAGAACUUUCCAGAGAUGGAUUGGUGCCUUCGGGAACUCUGAGACAGGUGCUGCAUGGCUGUCGUCAGCUCGUGUUGUGAAAUGUUGGGUUAAGUCCCGCAACGAGCGCAACCCUUAUCCUUGUUUGCCAGCGAGUAAUGUCGGGAACUCCAGGGAGACUGCCGGUGAUAAACCGGAGGAAGGUGGGGACGACGUCAAGUCAUCAUGGCCCUUACGAGUAGGGCUACACACGUGCUACAAUGGCGCAUACAGAGGGCAGCCAACUUGCGAAAGUGAGCGAAUCCCAAAAAGUGCRUMGURGUCCGGAUUGGAGUCUGCAACUCGACUCCAUGAAGUCGG
RNAcentral lists this ribosomal RNA (369 nucleotides) under Vibrio sp. Its description in RNAcentral is "bacterial SSU rRNA". It matches the Rfam family "Bacterial small subunit ribosomal RNA", at positions 961 to 1329 of the family's 1533-position model. The record is from RNAcentral. Lineage: Bacteria; Pseudomonadati; Pseudomonadota; Gammaproteobacteria; Vibrionales; Vibrionaceae.